RNAcentral lists this non-coding RNA (107 nucleotides) under zebrafish metagenome. RNAcentral describes it as "S-adenosyl methionine (SAM) riboswitch". It matches the Rfam family "SAM (S-adenosyl methionine) riboswitch aptamer". From Rfam's summary of the family: SAM-IV is a mRNA element that regulates gene expression via direct sensing of S-adenosylmethionine (SAM or AdoMet). SAM-IV riboswitches share conserved nucleotide positions with the previously described SAM-I riboswitches sequence analysis and molecular recognition experiments suggest that SAM-I and SAM-IV riboswitches share similar ligand binding sites, but have different scaffolds. The record is from RNAcentral.
GGUCAAGAGUUCCUGCGUCAAGCUCCGGCUCGUGGGACGGCAACCCUCCAACCGCGGUGGGGUGCUCCGGAUGAAGACCUGGCCUGCUUCGGCAGGCAAGCGCGGGU